This 71-nucleotide transfer RNA is filed under the name Zhangixalus omeimontis (Omei tree frog). RNAcentral's name for it is "tRNA-Pro". It matches the Rfam family "tRNA". Rfam says of the family: Transfer RNA (tRNA) molecules are approximately 80 nucleotides in length. Their secondary structure includes four short double-helical elements and three loops (D, anti-codon, and T loops). Lineage: Eukaryota; Metazoa; Chordata; Amphibia; Anura; Rhacophoridae. The record is from RNAcentral.
UCAGAAUAUGGUCUAAUUAGAAUGUCGGCUUUGGGGGUCGAAGAUAGAAGUUAAACUCUUCUUGUUCUGAU